GAUGAACGCUGGCGGCGUGCCUAAUACAUGCAAGUCGAGCGAACGGACGAGAAGCUUGCUUUUCUGAUGUUAGCGGCGGACGGGUGAGUAACACGUGGAUAACCUACCUAUAAGACUGGGAUAACUUCGGGAAACCGGAGCUAAUACCGGAUAAUAUUUUGAACCGCAUGGUUCAAAAGUGAAAGACGGUCUUGCUGUCACUUAUAGAUGGAUCCGCGCUGCAUUAGCUAGUUGGUAAGGUAACGGCUUACCAAGGCAACGAUGCAUAACCGACCUGAGAGGGUGAUCGGCCACACGGGAACUGAGACACGGUCCAAACUCCUACGGGAGGCAGCAGUAGGGAAUCUUCCGCAAUGGGCGAAAGCCUGACGGAGCAACGCCGCGUGAGUGAUGAAGGGUUUCGGUUCGUAAAACUCUGUUAUUAGGGAAGAAAAUAUGUGUAAGUAACUUUGCAAAUUUUGACGGUACCAAACCAGAAAGCCACGGCUAACUACGU
This 496-nucleotide ribosomal RNA is filed under the name uncultured bacterium. RNAcentral describes it as "partial 16S ribosomal RNA". It matches the Rfam family "Bacterial small subunit ribosomal RNA", at positions 28 to 506 of the family's 1533-position model. The record is from RNAcentral.